UACGGAGGGUGCAAGCAUUGAUCGGAAUUACUGGGCGUAAAGGGCGCGUAGGCGGCGAGGGAAGUCAGAUGUGAAAUUCCGGGGCUCAACCCCGGAGCUGCAUUUGAAACUUUCUUGCUAGAGUGCAGGUAGGGUAAACGGAAUUCCACGUGUAGCGGUGAAAUGCGUAGAUAUGUGGAAGAACACCGGUGGUGAAGACGGUUUACUGGGCUGUAACUGACGCUGAGGCGCGAAAGCAUGGGGAGCAAACAGG
RNAcentral lists this ribosomal RNA (253 nucleotides) under uncultured bacterium. Its description in RNAcentral is "partial 16S ribosomal RNA". It matches the Rfam family "Bacterial small subunit ribosomal RNA", at positions 524 to 776 of the family's 1533-position model. The record is from RNAcentral.